RNAcentral lists this ribosomal RNA (258 nucleotides) under uncultured Basidiomycota. Its description in RNAcentral is "partial 18S ribosomal RNA". It matches the Rfam family "Eukaryotic small subunit ribosomal RNA", at positions 624 to 886 of the family's 1831-position model. Lineage: Eukaryota; Fungi; Basidiomycota. The record is from RNAcentral.
AAGCUCGUAGUUGAAUUUCGGAAUGUGGCUGGGCGGUCCGCCUCACGGUGUGUACUGUCUGGCUGUGUUCUCUUUCUUGGUGAGCCGGCAUGCCCUUUACUGGGUGUGUUGGGGAACCAGGACGUUUACCUUGAGAAAAUUAGAGUGUUCAAAGCAGGCCUACGCCCGAAUACAUUAGCAUGGCAUAAUAAAAUAGGACGUGCGGUUCUAUUUUGUUGGUUUCUAGAGCCGCAGUAAUGAUUAAUAGGGAUAGUUGGG